GUGAACAGGCAAGAGCUCAGAUUUGAAAGCCUCUCGGGGCAUUGUAUUCUGAAGCCUUGAUUCUGAGAAACGGUAUCUAAGUCUUCUGGAAAGGAGCGCCAAGGAGGGUGAUAGCCCCGUACGGUACUGACCUCAUUGUAGAAUCUUGGCGUGGAGUCGAGUUGUUUGGGAAUGCAGCUCAAAUGGGUGGUAUGCUCCAUCUAAAGCUAAAUAUCUGCGAGAGACCGAUAGCGAACAAGUACUGUGAAGGAAAGAUGAAAAGAACUUUGAAAAGAGAGUGAAAAAGUACGUGAAAUUGUUGAAAUGGAAGGAUAGGCCGCUAACCACGUAGAGCCGUGUCUGAGGGGAGGAUAAAAGCUGUAGAAUGUGACUCUUCGGAGUGUUAUAGCUGCAGUGCAUACUCCCACUCGGGCGCGAGGACCUAAGGCUCUGCUAAAUGGUGGUCUAUCACCCGUCUUGAAC
This 462-nucleotide ribosomal RNA is filed under the name Starmerella bombicola. RNAcentral describes it as "partial large subunit ribosomal RNA". It matches the Rfam family "Eukaryotic large subunit ribosomal RNA", at positions 93 to 659 of the family's 3401-position model. Lineage: Eukaryota; Fungi; Ascomycota; Dipodascomycetes; Dipodascales; Trichomonascaceae. The record is from RNAcentral.